RNAcentral lists this long non-coding RNA (461 nucleotides) under Phoenix dactylifera (date palm). RNAcentral describes it as "long non-coding RNA (PDAC_LNC006685)". Lineage: Eukaryota; Viridiplantae; Streptophyta; Magnoliopsida; Arecales; Arecaceae. The record is from RNAcentral.
CAGGCUGCGCUUUAGCAAGACAAAUCCUCGAACCUCAAAGAGGCCAGCGGCCGUGUAAUUUCCUCUAUCAAAAAUAUAUAUAACAAAGUAAACUUCGAUGAAUUCAUCAAAUGGUGGUGCGUGAAAUGUAUAUGAUUUCUGUCAUGUUUUUACCAUAUUUCUAAGACACUGGAAACUUUGGCGAUGCGUGAAAAAACAUGACACGCAUCCCACGUCCGAUUGCAGAUGCAACAAGAGUUGGAUAAAAAACCAGCGAAGCAUACCUUUGCCUUCAAGAAGACCUUUUUGUUCUUCUUCUCAAACAUACAGGCUUUUGAAUUCCCACACUAUCAAUCUUUUGUGGCUUAUAAAGGAAUGCUUCUUUAACUCAUCCUCAUCAAGCAACGAUGCAACUGAUGAACUUAUUAAGCCUUGCUAAGAAAACACAAGCAAAGAUACAAAAAGCUGUUAGGAAAAACCCC